UACGGAGGGUGCAAGCGUUGUUCGGAAUUACUGGGCGUAAAGGGCGUGUAGGCGGCUUAAUAAGUCAGCUGUGAAAUCCCCCGGCUCAACUGGGGGCUUGCAGUUGAAACUUAAAGGCUUGAGUGCAGGAGAGGAAGGUGGAAUUCCCAGUGUAGCGGUGAAAUGCGUAGAUAUUGGGAGGAACACCGGUGGCGAAGGCGGCCUUCUGGCCUGUAACUGACGCUGAGGCACGAAAGCGUGGGGAUCAAACAGG
RNAcentral lists this ribosomal RNA (253 nucleotides) under uncultured bacterium. Its description in RNAcentral is "partial 16S ribosomal RNA". It matches the Rfam family "Bacterial small subunit ribosomal RNA", at positions 524 to 776 of the family's 1533-position model. The record is from RNAcentral.